RNAcentral lists this unclassified non-coding RNA (482 nucleotides) under Hevea brasiliensis (rubber tree). Lineage: Eukaryota; Viridiplantae; Streptophyta; Magnoliopsida; Malpighiales; Euphorbiaceae. The record is from RNAcentral.
ACACCUGUUGGAGAUACCUUCAUCUUCCCCUCGAUAACCCUGGAGAGAUUUUUGACAUCGUCCUUGGAGAUAUGACGAGGGCGGCUUAGCCAAAGCCCGCCAUCAGCAACAAUGGUAGUUCCGUUGACGUAUUUACCUGCAUCAGAAGCCAAGUAAAGGGCAGCCAUUGCGAUAUCCCAUCUCUCCCCUAGUUUAUACAGAGGCAUGUAUUCACGGGUUUUGCUCUUCAUCUCGUCUGGUGAAAGUUUUCUCAUUCCGGGAGUACCUUCAAUUGGCCCUGGAGCAAUUCCAUUGACCCUAAUAUCAUAAUCAGUUCCCCACUCCAGAGCCAAAGAUCUUGUUAUGCUAUCUACCGCUGCCUUCGCAGCAGACACAUGGAUUUGGUACCAAGAUGCCGUAUAAUGGAGGGUCGCACUUAUGUUAAGGAUAAGGCCACCGGUUGAUGGAGCUUUUCCUGGUCCUCCUACUUUCAGAUAUUUUAG